UACGGAGGGUGCGAGCGUUAAUCGGAAUCACUGGGCGUAAAGCGCGCGUAGGCGGCUUCUCAAGUCAGGGGUGAAAUCCCACGGCCCAACCGUGGAACUGCCUUUGAAACUGUAGAGCUUGAGUGUCGGAGAGGGUGGCGGAAUUCCAGGUGUAGGAGUGAAAUCCGUAGAUAUCUGGAGGAACACCGGUGGCGAAGGCGGCCACCUGGACGACAACUGACGCUGAGGUGCGAAAGCGUGGGUAGCAAACAGG
Molecule: ribosomal RNA, 253 nt
Filed under: uncultured bacterium
Lineage: Bacteria
Description: partial 16S ribosomal RNA
Rfam family: Bacterial small subunit ribosomal RNA
Source: RNAcentral